ACCAAGAAGCCCUGAACUCUCACAAUUAGUGGUACAUUUGUGAACAGUUUAUUGGCGUAAAUAUUUUUUAAUAAAAGUGUGAUCUUUUUAUCAUAGUCACAGAAGAGUCAGUAUACAAUCAAUUUAAUACUUGCUAUUCUUGUUAAUUUGUGUUGUUCGGUUUUUGACAUGUCAAAAAUGUAUAUUGCCAUAGUGCAUCCUCAUACCAUGGCCUAUUCGUGCUGUUAUAUUUAAUGAAUGGAUAUGAAACAGUAGGCUUGCUCGAUCACACCCUUCUUGAAUUUACAAUAGUUUCAUAAUGAAGCUCUUGGUCGUAUUUGGCGAGAGAUAUGUGGUCAUGUCUUACUUAACAGUAAGCAAAGCGUAAAAUUGGAUUUGUGAUGGUAGUUUUCUGCUUUGGUGCAUUCAGAAAAUUCCAUCAUGACCGGAGCUUCCAUAUAAAACGUCGAUUGUUCGUUUAGGGAAUACCCUGGAAGAUUUUUA
Molecule: long non-coding RNA, 483 nt
Organism: Ctenocephalides felis (cat flea)
Lineage: Eukaryota; Metazoa; Arthropoda; Insecta; Siphonaptera; Pulicidae
Exons: 3
Source: RefSeq, a predicted model, not a curated record